CUGUUCACUGAAAUUUUAAAUAACUGCAGUAUAUUAACUGUGCUAAGGUAGCAUAAUCAUUUGUCUUUUAAUUGAAGUCUUGUAUGAAUGAUUUAAUGAAAAAAUAACUUUUUUAAGUUAACUAUAUUAAAUUUGAAUUAAAAUAAAAAAUUUUUAAUGUUUUUAUUAGACGAUAAGACCCUAUAAAAUUUAAUAAAUAUUUAAUUUUAAGUUAAUUUAAUAUUUAUUUAGUUGGGAAGACUUUAAAAUUAUUGAAACUUUUAUAUAAAAUAAAUUUCUUAAAAUUGUUUUUGAAUGAGUUUAAUUAUUUAAGAUUAAAUUACUUUAGGGAUAACAGCAUAAUAUUAUUUUAAAGUUCUUAUUUAAUAUAAUGAUUAUGACCUCGAUGUUGAAUUAGGAUAAUAAUUUACAGAAGAUUGUAAAUAUAAUAGUCUGUUCGACU
This 442-nucleotide ribosomal RNA is filed under the name Trimorus sp. M172. RNAcentral's name for it is "partial 16S ribosomal RNA". Lineage: Eukaryota; Metazoa; Arthropoda; Insecta; Hymenoptera; Scelionidae. The record is from RNAcentral.